AAGCUUGUAACCCUAGAUAGUGGGGUUUUUAGCUUUCUUCUCAAGCCUCGAGCUUUGAAAUUUUUGUAAUAAUUUUUUUUUAUAUAAAAUCUUAUUUUUAUGCAAUUUUAUCUCUUUACAUUAUGCAAUUUAAUUUUAUGCAAUUAGGUUAGUUUAAAUUAUGCAGUUUAAAUUUAUGCAAUUAGGAUAGUUUAAUUUAUGAAAUUAGGGUAGUUUAUUUUUUUGCAUUUAAAUUUUGCAAGUAGAUUUAGAUCAUGUCUAGCUA
RNAcentral lists this long non-coding RNA (265 nucleotides) under Elaeis guineensis (African oil palm). RNAcentral describes it as "long non-coding RNA (EGUI_LNC033585)". Lineage: Eukaryota; Viridiplantae; Streptophyta; Magnoliopsida; Arecales; Arecaceae. The record is from RNAcentral.